GGCCGGGCGUGGCGGUGCAGGGUCGGGACUGGUGUGCAGAGCUCGGGAGCUUGCGGAGAAGGACAGCGGGAGCAGAGAGUCACCCCCCGUGGCGUUGUUAGUGAGGAGGCGAUGUCUCCGGGGAGAAGGGCGAAGGCGCUCGGUCGCCACGGUGUGACCAUCAUCGGGAAACAGCAUUUUCCAGCGGGAGUGGGAAAGUUUGGUGGUACAGAGAUGCUUCAGUGUUUGGAAAAGUCAGAAUUUUAUGGAUUGAGUUUUUUACUCCUCAGGGAGCUGGUGAAGCUGUGAAUCUUUCCAAAGCCAAAGUUAUCACCUGGAUUUCAGAUGCCUUCUCUCACAGAUGACUAUGAUACAAGACAACACAGAAAAUUCAUUCACUGGUUGAGAAGACUGAAGUUAAUUUGCUACUUCUUGACAUGGUCAAAAUAAGUAG
Hirundo rustica (Barn swallow) is the source of this 433-nucleotide long non-coding RNA. RefSeq lists it as uncharacterized. Lineage: Eukaryota; Metazoa; Chordata; Aves; Passeriformes; Hirundinidae. The record is from RefSeq and is a predicted model, not a curated record. The transcript has 3 exons.